GUGGGGAAUAUUGGACAAUGGGGGCAACCCUGAUCCAGCCAUGCCGCGUGUGUGAAGAAGGCCUUCGGGUUGUAAAGCACUUUCAGUGGGGAGGAACGAUCCAAGGCUAAUAUCCUUGGGAAUUGACGCUACCCACAGAAGAAGCACCGGCUAAUUCCGUGCCAGCAGCCGCGGUAAUACGGAAGGUGCGAGCGUUAAUCGGAAUUACUGGGCGUAAAGCGCGCGUAGGUGGCUUGAUAAGUCGGGUGUGAAAGCCCCGGGCUCAACCUGGGAACUGCACUCGAUACUGUCGAGCUAGAGUACGAGAGAGGGGGGUGGAAUUCCAGGUGUAGCGGUGAAAUGCGUAGAGAUCUGGAGGAACAUCAGUGGCGAAGGCGGCCCCCUGGCUCGAUACUGACGCUGAGGUGCGAAAGCGUGGGGAGCAAACAGGAUUAGAUACCCGUGUAGUCC
Molecule: ribosomal RNA, 450 nt
Filed under: uncultured bacterium
Lineage: Bacteria
Description: bacterial SSU rRNA
Rfam family: Bacterial small subunit ribosomal RNA
Source: RNAcentral